CUGUUCGGGCGAAAAAGAAGAAACAGAGAGAGAGAGAGAGAGAGAGAGAGGGGAGGGAGGGAGGAAGGGAGAGAACGAUCUUGAGAGAAAGAGAGAGCGAGAGAGAGAAGGAGAGCUCGAGAUGAAGGUCGAGGGAAGUUUAGCUUGAAAUGGAUUAUGGACAAUAGCAGAGAUGAAGAGUGAAUGAGCAAUAGCCAGAGCCCGAGCUUGAGCUCGAUGAAGAGAUAGAGAAAUGAAAGAACCAAGGAUGGGAAAGUAGCAGUUGGGCGGUGGAUGAACGGAAUAGAGAGGGGAACGAGGUAGAGAAGAUUGAGGGUAGAUUGAGAUACGGAAAUUGGAGAACACCACAAGGAAGGCCUUGACAUGGUGAUCCGUUAUUGAUGGGUUUUGGAUAAACUACUAGCUGCGCAGGAAAACCAUUUUUGAUAUCCUGGAUAAGUUCGGAGGACUAUGUAGAGAGCUUUGGCCAUCUUAUAGGUGUUUUUUUUAAUAGAAUGUGUCUACAUGGUUACAGCAUGGAGUAAUUCUUUUAGCUAUUUGUAAAUUGUCAUGAGGAAUAUAUUAGAAAUUCUUUUGGGAAGGAAUUAUUUUGUUAAUGUAUUUUAGAGUAGGUUGGCUUGAUUAGUUGAUGAAUUGUUUGAUUAUAUAUGUGUUUUUGUUUAUGUUAAAGGAUUGGCAUUUUCUUGAGCUUGGAGCAUAUGAAUAUAUUAGUAGGUUAUAGUU
Molecule: non-coding RNA, 723 nt
Organism: Punica granatum (pomegranate)
Lineage: Eukaryota; Viridiplantae; Streptophyta; Magnoliopsida; Myrtales; Lythraceae
Source: RefSeq, a predicted model, not a curated record